Oncorhynchus masou masou (cherry salmon) is the source of this 2996-nucleotide long non-coding RNA. RefSeq lists it as uncharacterized. The transcript is spliced from 2 exons. Lineage: Eukaryota; Metazoa; Chordata; Actinopteri; Salmoniformes; Salmonidae. The record is from RefSeq and is a predicted model, not a curated record.
AAAAAGAGCACAGUCUGCCAUGCUGACAGUUGCAGGUUAGUGCGUAUAUAUCCAAAUUGCACGCAUCUGUUAGUUGUGGACAGCUCAUUAAUGAUCAAUUGGUCAGCAGGUUAGCUUCAUGUUGGCAAUCUCUAUUACAAUAAUUAAAUAUGUUUUAUAACUAAACCUCAUUGUUCUAUCAGUGCUAUAAUGUCCCCGUGUUUUCAUAUUAAAGCCGAUAGUAGCCGCUAGAUCUGCACUAUCAUCUAGGAUUGAUGUGCCCAGCCGGUAAUACCAAAGAUUUGUAUAACUCAACCAAUAUUGACCAUAGCCUGUCGUUUCCAAUGGGAACAAAUUAGUCAUAAUGGGCAGAGCCAAGCACGAGCUAGCGAGAUCCUAUUUAAAAAACAUAAUCAUUAAACUAUUACUAGGUUAGUAACAAAAUCAUCUGCAUAUUGCCAUUAGGGAACGCCUCCUUUGUGAAGUGCUCUUGUGCAAUAACUCAAUUCGCCUUUGCACUCGUUCUAAACAGCGCGUAUUUUAUUGUAUUUUGCAAAGGGUAAAGUCGACAACUUAAUCCACUCUGUUCAUAACAGAUUAUAUUGAGAUCAAAUGUUUAAUCGAUGAGAAAAUGUGCAGAAUCUCGGCCAAAAUCCAUCUCGUUCCAUCUACUUCCACUGCAAGCCAGUGAGCAGCUUCUUCUUCUACUUCUAUGGUAUAAUGGCGUAACAAUCAAAUGUACCGUCGGCCACCAACUGUGCGGGUGGGUAAUAAGGAUCCGUCCGCAAAAAUAAAACAUUUGGGUAAAAAUAAAAAAUAAAACUAACUACCCAAAAAAAUGAAAACCAAAACAAAAUGAACCUGCUUUUCUGUAAAAAAAACAAAACGUUUUUUAAUCAGGUCCCAACACAGGUUCAGAAGCCUCCUGUGAGGGCGGGACAUUUCCUAGCAACAAAAGUCCUUGGGAGUGUUUCUGCCAUGAAGUCCUGGAACCCAAAAACUUCUCAGUUGCAGAUAUAAUGAUAUCCACGCUAUUUGACUUCUUAGACACUUGUGCUGUACAAUUGAUCACUGUGGCUAUAAAUGUCACAAAAAUCCACCUUCUUCACAAUGAGUGUAUCCAGAUCACCCGAUUGACUUAAAACACUAGCAACUGAUUGCCAGGACUACCUGGCAUGAUGACUCCUUGCUGUCCCCAGUCCACCUGGCCGUGCUGCUGCUCCAGUGUCAACUGUUCUGCCUGCGGCUAUGGAACCCUGACCUGUUCACCGAACGUGCUACCUGUCCCAGACCUGCUGUUUUCAACUCUCUAGAGACAGCAGGAGCGGUAGAGAUACUCUUAAUGAUCGGCUAUGAAAAGGCAACUGACAUUUACUCCUGAGGCGCUAACUUGCUGCACCCUCGACAACUACUGUGAUGAUUAUUUUACCAUGCUGGUCAUUUAUGAACAUUUGAACAUCUUGGCCAUGUUCUGUUAUAAUCUCCACCCGACACAGCCAGAAGAGGACUGGCCACCCCUCAUAGCCUGGUUCCUCUCUAGGUUUCGGCCUUUCUAGGGAGUUUUUCCUAUCCACCGUGCUUCUACACCUGCAUUGUUUGCUGUUUGGGGUUUUAGGCUGGAUUUCUGUUCAGCACAUUGCUGAACAUUGCACGUUCCCAUACCGCUUUUAGGACGAGAAGAUCCAAGGUGCAGACUACUUUGGCCACAAAGAUGUUGCUGGUCAGUGCAUUAAGGUCCUGUGUGAAGUCUUCAAGGAGCAGGUAAUGGAAUAACCCUCUACUAGGAAGAGAAUAUUGCGCAGAUGACAUUAAUACACAGUUUACAUUACCAAACAAAUUACGUUAGGUACUACACUGAUUAAACUAGUUACUACACAUUACAACACAGAGGACAUUACGACACAGAUGACAUUACACACAUUACGUUAGUUACUACACAGAUUAAAUUAGUUACUACACAUUACAACACAGAGGACAUUACUACACAGAUGACAUUACACACAUUACGUUAGUUACUACACAGAUUAAAUUAGUUACUACACAUUACAACACAGGACAUUACUACAAAGAUGACAUUACACACAUUACGUUAGUUACUACACAGAUUAAAUUAGUUACUACACAUUACAUUACUACACAGAGGACAUUACUACACAGAGGACAUUAAUACACAGAGGACAUUAAUACACAGAUUAUACUACUAUAUUACAUUGCUCCACAUAUUACAUUACUACACAUUAGAUUUUCAAGAUAUUCAAGGUCUCCCUUUUAAAAGAGGUCUCCUAUCCUCAAUGGGACUUCCUGGAUAACUAAAGGUUAAAGCUGCAAUAUGUAACUUUUUUUGUAUUAUCUUGUACCUUAUCCUCAUUACUUUUCCAUUGUCUUGGCCAGGAGUUCCUAGAGAAAGUGAAGUACUUUGUGAUGUGGUAGAGCAGACAUGUGGUCUCAGAUGUCAUACGUCUUUGUGAAGCAGUAUAGGAGGAGGCCUAUGACAUCAUCGCUGAAGAUGUCCAAGGAAAAGUGUUCUUUGCUGGGGAGGAAACCAACAGAAACAUUCCUAUUUGAGUGGCGUCCGUGAAGCAAGUAAAAUCGCCUUACCUGUGAGCAGUCAGUCACACAAUACCAGCAUGACUCAGUCGUACAGAGCAACGCUUCAGUUCCUCACUCAACUGAGUCACAAUGCUUUUAAGUGGUGUUUUCAACCAGUGUGUACUGUACCUCGUGUGUGAGCAGAGAUGACCAAUGCUGUUUGUAACGAGGCAAUGUUAUGGACAUUGAAUCAAUGUGGAAAACUGAUUGGAUUUGCACAAAUUAACAUAAGGGAAUUUCAUAAUUUUCUUACCCAGCUUUUAACCUAAAUGUAAUGACAUUACGAAAUGUUUUGUUGAUUUCACGUUAGUUGACAACUAGACAUGGAACUGACGUCUGUGCCCAGUGGGACACCUCGUGUUGGUUUAGUUGGAGAUCACUGUAAUAAGAAAUUAAAAGAUUGGCAGCGCAAGUAUGCUUCUAAACAA